Molecule: ribosomal RNA, 253 nt
Filed under: uncultured bacterium
Lineage: Bacteria
Description: partial 16S ribosomal RNA
Rfam family: Bacterial small subunit ribosomal RNA
Source: RNAcentral
UACGGAGGGUGCAAGCGUUAUCCGGAUUUAUUGGGUUUAAAGGGUCCGUAGGCGGAUCUGUAAGUCAGUGGUGAAAUCUCACAGCUUAACUGUGAAACUGCCAUUGAUACUGCAGGUCUUGAGUGUUGUUGAAGUAGCUGGAAUAAGUAGUGUAGCGGUGAAAUGCGUAGAUAUUACUUAGAACACCAAUUGCGAAGGCAGGUUACUAAGCAACAACUGACGCUGAUGGACGAAAGCGUGGGGAGCGAACAGG